This 497-nucleotide ribosomal RNA is filed under the name uncultured bacterium. RNAcentral's name for it is "partial 16S ribosomal RNA". It matches the Rfam family "Bacterial small subunit ribosomal RNA", at positions 28 to 507 of the family's 1533-position model. The record is from RNAcentral.
GAUGAACGCUGGCGGCGUGCCUAAUACAUGCAAGUCGAGCGAACAGACGAGGAGCUUGCUCCUCUGACGUUAGCGGCGGACGGGUGAGUAACACGUGGAUAACCUACCUAUAAGACUGGGAUAACUUCGGGAAACCGGAGCUAAUACCGGAUAAUAUAUUGAACCGCAUGGUUCAAUAGUGAAAGACGGUUUUGCUGUCACUUAUAGCUGGAUCCGCGCCGCAUUAGCUAGUUGGUAAGGUAACGGCUUACCAAGGCAACGAUGCGUAGCCGACCUGAGAGGGUGGUCGGCCGCACUGGAACUGAGACACGGUCCAGACGCCUACGGGAGGCAGCAGUAGGGAAUCUUCCGCAAUGGGCGAAAGCCUGACGGAGCAACGCCGCGUGAGUGAUGAAGGUCUUCGGAUCGUAAAACUCUGUUAUUAGGGAAGAACAAAUGUGUAAGUAACUAUGCACGUCUUGACGGUACCUAAUCAGAAAGCCACGGCUAACUACGUG